RNAcentral lists this long non-coding RNA (229 nucleotides) under Elaeis guineensis (African oil palm). RNAcentral's name for it is "long non-coding RNA (EGUI_LNC016581)". The record is from RNAcentral. Lineage: Eukaryota; Viridiplantae; Streptophyta; Magnoliopsida; Arecales; Arecaceae.
AUUCUAAAUAAAGAGAAGCCAUACUUUGGACUAAUGAUCAUGGGAUUGCGUGUUGACUUACUAUCAUCUAACUUUACAAAAUUUAUUUUUAUUAACAAACUUUAUAUUGGCUAGUAGAUCUUUUUCUUUUUUUUUUUAAAGACUUGUUGUGUUACUAUUCAUGGCUUUAAUAAGGGAAUGUUAUAAUGGACAUCGGAGGAAUAGGGAGACUAAAAUUAAUUUUGAAGGG